GAUGAACGCUAGCGGCAGGCUUAACACAUGCAAGUCGAGGGGUAGAAGUUGCUUGCAACUUUGAGACCGGCGCACGGGUGCGUAACACGUAUGCAAUCUACCUUAUACAGAGGGAUAGCCCAGAGAAAUUUGGAUUAAUACCUCAUAGUAUAAUUGAAUGGCAUCAUUUAAUUAUUAAAGUUCCAACGGUAUAAGAUGAGCAUGCGUCCUAUUAGCUAGAUGGUAAGGUAACGGCUUACCAUGGCAACGAUAGGUAGGGGUCCUGAGAGGGAGAUCCCCCACACUGGUACUGAGACACGGACCAGACUCCUACGGGAGGAAGGAGUGAGGAAUAUUGGACAAUGGGCGCAAGCCUGAUCCAGCCAUGCCGCGUGCAGGAAGAAGCAUCUAUGGUGUGUAAACUGCUUUUGUACGGGAAGAAACACCCCUUCGUGAAGGGACUUGACGGUACCGUAAGAAUAAGGAUCGGCUAACUCCGUGCCAGCCGCCGCAGUAA
This 496-nucleotide ribosomal RNA is filed under the name uncultured bacterium. RNAcentral describes it as "partial 16S ribosomal RNA". It matches the Rfam family "Bacterial small subunit ribosomal RNA", at positions 28 to 523 of the family's 1533-position model. The record is from RNAcentral.